AAAAAAAAAAAAAAAAAAAUUCUCCCUUUCAUUCAUUUUUUAGUUUUAGCUUCCCAUACACAAGUAGUUAAAUAUUUUCUCCUCCAUUUCCAUCUCCCUUCUUUCCCUCCCUCCAAAAUACAUUCCUCUUUCCUAUCUCCCCUUAUAGCCAUGCAUGGUGUUAAGGAACAAAUAAAAAAUUUUGCAUCAUUUAGUACCAUGAGAUUUCAUCUAUUGUCACUUUAUUACCAUUUGAACUAAGAUCAUUAUAAUGAUAUUUAGAUAAUAUUCCUAUAGCAUAAGAUAACUCAUUAUAUGAAAUAAAAAGUUUUAUUGAUGUUACCUGAAAUAUGUCUGGGAAAAAAAAUAGAACUUUUUUUCGCCACAGCAAAAUCUUAUCUUAAGAAUAGGGGGAAAAAGGAAAAAAAAAAAAUUAAUGUAGCACUAAUUUGAUGUCAUAUGACUAUCGUAAAGACAUCAUAUGGAUAACACUCAAGUCUAAUUGUCAUUUUAUGAGAUUUGGGGUUUAACGAUAUCAGCAUAUAAAGGUACUAAAGUGAUAAUGAAUAACCUUGUGAACUAAAACAACACUAAAAAAGAAAAUUCAAUCCUCAAAUAUCAAAGGACCAAACCAUAGGAUUUUUGUUUUUUUUUACACCAUAAUAAAAUUUUAUCUUAAAGGUAGGGAGGAAAAUUUAGCUUUGGUGUCAUAUAACAAUCAUAAUGAUAUCAUAUGGAUAAUACUCAAGUCUGAUAGUCAUUUUAGUAGACUUGGGCACCACAUAUGUAUGGUUUUAAUGAUAUCAGCAUAUAAG
Molecule: unclassified non-coding RNA, 794 nt
Filed under: Hevea brasiliensis (rubber tree)
Lineage: Eukaryota; Viridiplantae; Streptophyta; Magnoliopsida; Malpighiales; Euphorbiaceae
Source: RNAcentral